RNAcentral lists this ribosomal RNA (253 nucleotides) under uncultured bacterium. Its description in RNAcentral is "partial 16S ribosomal RNA". It matches the Rfam family "Bacterial small subunit ribosomal RNA", at positions 524 to 776 of the family's 1533-position model. The record is from RNAcentral.
UACGUAGGGGGCUAGCGUUGUCCGGAAUCAUUGGGCGUAAAGAGCGUGUAGGCGGCCCGGUAAGUCCGCUGUGAAAGUCGGGGGCUCAACCCUCGAAUGCCGGUGGAUACUGUCGGGCUAGAGUGCGGAAGAGGCGAGUGGAAUUCCCGGUGUAGCGGUGAAAUGCGCAGAUAUCGGGAGGAACACCAAUGGCGAAGGCAGCUCGCUGGGACGGUACUGACGCUGAGGCGCGAAAGCGUGGGGAGCAAACAGG